AGAGCCUGUAUUUGGGCAGACCAGGAGUAGUUCAGCUGCAGGUCAGCAAUGACAUCACAGAACAAGGUUCUUUCUGUGCGCUCCCUAGCAAUUGCUUUUACACUCAUGCUAAACCUCCAAGCAUUGAUUCCAUAUUCCUGGCAGGAAGAAGGCUAAAGUGCCCAAAGUUAUCUCCUCUUUGGCUUUUUAUGGAAAGAAAACCAUUGCCAACAGACUUGUACUUAUAUUUCCAAGGCCAGUACUAUGUCCCAGGGCCAACUCAUGCAGAAAGAUGUCCGAGGGGUGCGCUUGCUUACACGGGGACCACCACUGCUGCGCAUUGGCAUUCUUCCUGCUGGCUGUGGCUGUACCGCCGAGCGACUGACCCUAACAACAAUGUUCAUCUUGGACAUACUUUGGGUCACAACUACUAGCAUUUGAAAGGCUCCAUCAGCUGCUAUUCCAGAACUCAGCGAUACUCCUUGGCAAUACAAAACAGACAUGUUUGAGGCACUGAGACUGAAUAGGAAGGAAGUGCCAAAAGAUUCGCAAAAGAAAAAACUGAAAAAAGAAGAAAUGCUAGCAUAUCAGAAAGGAAAGGUCUGUGUUAUAAAAUGGAAAGACAAAAGAGACUUCUCC
This 618-nucleotide long non-coding RNA is filed under the name Heterocephalus glaber (naked mole-rat). RNAcentral describes it as "lncRNA (ENSHGLG00000041561.1)". The record is from RNAcentral. Lineage: Eukaryota; Metazoa; Chordata; Mammalia; Rodentia; Bathyergidae.